Molecule: ribosomal RNA, 258 nt
Filed under: uncultured bacterium
Lineage: Bacteria
Description: partial 16S ribosomal RNA
Rfam family: Bacterial small subunit ribosomal RNA
Source: RNAcentral
UGGCGGACGGGUGAGUAACGCGUGGGUAACCUGCCUCACACAGGGGGAUAACAGUUGGAAACGACCGCUAAUACCGCAUAACCCGCUGGUAUCGCAUGAUACUGACGGAAAAGAUUUAUCGGUGUGAGAUGGACCCGCGUCUGAUUAGCCAGUUGGCAGGGUAACGGCCUACCAAAGCGACGAUCAGUAGCCGGCCUGAGAGGGCGAACGGCCACAUUGGGACUGAGACACGGCCCAAACUCCUACGGAAGGCAGCAG